Molecule: ribosomal RNA, 479 nt
Filed under: uncultured bacterium
Lineage: Bacteria
Description: partial 16S ribosomal RNA
Rfam family: Bacterial small subunit ribosomal RNA
Source: RNAcentral
GAUGAACGCUGGCGGCGUGCUUAACACAUGCAAGUCGAACGAAGCACUUAAGAUUGAUUCUUCGGAUGACGUCUUUUGUGACUUAGUGGCGGACGGGUGAGUAACGCGUGGGUAACCUGCCUCACACAGGGGGAUAACAGUUAGAAAUGACUGCUAAUACCGCAUACCCCGAUAGGAUCGCAUGAUCCAGACGGAAAAGAUUUAUCGGUGUGAGAUGGACCCGCGUCUGAUUAGCUAGUUGGUGAGGUAACGGCCCACCAAGGCGACGAUCAGUAGCCGGCCUGAGAGGGUGAACGGCCACAUUGGGACUGAGACACGGCCCAAACUCCUACGGGAAGCAGCAGUGGGGAAUAUUGCACAAUGGGGGAAACCCUGAUGCAGCGACGCCGCGUGAGUGAAGAAGUAUUUCGGUAUGUAAAGCUCUAUCAGCAGGGAAGAAAAUGACGGUACCUGACUAAGAAGCCCCGGCUAACUACGUG